UGGCCUCUUCUUUUUUGUCUCGCUCUGUCUCCCAGGCUGAAGUGCAGUGGCACCAUUUCAGCUCACUGCAACCUCUACCUCCUGGGUUCAAGAGGUUCUCCUACCUCAGACCCUUGAGUAGGUCGGACUGCAGGCACCUGCCACCACACCUGGCUAAUUUUUAUAUUUUUCGUAGAGACAAGAUUUCACCAUAUUGGCCAGACCGAUGUCGAACUCCUGACUUCAAAUGAUCCACCUGUCUCGGCCUCCCAAAGAUUACAGACUCAUCCCCGAGGUGAUUUCUACCCUGCUCUGCUCUGGGACAGGAAGCAGCUUUGUGUGUAGUGCAUGUUGAACAGUGACCACUUCACUGACUGAGCUCCAGCCCCAGGACACUGCUCCAGUCUCAGCCAGAAGCAACAUGGGGUUCACCUCACCUUGGAUGGGACAAAAGGAAUGAAAACUAAGGCAAUGAGCAGAGAUGGCAUCCUGCGUUUCGGGCAUUAGUGAGUUUUCCAUAAGCUUGAGGAUGACCUCACAUAAAGUUAUAUAAGUGAUAUUGGUCUGAAUAUUGGUCUGAUAUUGGUCACGAACGCUCACAUCUUGGUCUUCUGACCUCCCCUAUGGUCUUUCUAGGAAGAUCAGUCCUUUCCCUCUCCCCACUAUACUAAGCAGAUGGCUUGGAGUAGCUUCUGAGGCUGGAGAGGGAGGAUUCCACCUCAGCCCUGAAUGGCUGACUCAGCUCAGCUCCACUCUAAGGACUCAGGCAGUGCAUCAUUUUCUUCUCUGCUUCUGGGCUUUAGAAAGUGUCUUGAGAAGUGCAUGGCUGAGAGAGAGAGGAAACAGGUGGACACCACAUGGGCUGGAGGAAGCCCAGGGUCACCAAAUCAUCCUGGGCCAGAAGGCAAUUGUUCCUUUUGGAAGAUGAUGUGUUAAUCAUCAGAUCACUGAGCUGUCAGGGGGCAGAGAAGGAAAAGUUAAAGUCAGGGCUUGUUCGAUUUGCUAUGAGGAACUAUUUCGCAGCAGUUUGAGUCACUUUUAGUCCUUAUUCUCAUCAGCAAUAAGUUGGUUGUUGGAAAGAGCUGAAUAUGGUAAUUUACGCCAGGUGAACUACACUGUGCUCUGUGCUUCCAGGGUGUUUUUUGGAGUCCUGGAACUUUGUAGCUGGGAAAGACCAUCUGGUCCAGUGCCUGAUGAUUGAUUGGUUCUUGCUCAUGAUUAUUCAAUCAUACUGAUUCUCUGGAGAAGGGAAGUGACCUGUCCAAGGUUGUGUAGCAUGUUAUGGCUAGAGGGGGUCUGGUCCCAGGCAGUAGGUCCCCUUCUCCACAGGGGACCAUUAAAUUCUGUGCUCCUGGAAACCUCUGUCAUAAAUAUGAUCACCAAAAUGAGCUGAGUGGAAGGACAAAUGUAAAGAAUUUCAUAUAUCACAUGUUAUUUUCGUAUUGAUUUGUUAAUUUUAUUUUAUUUAAAAAAAUUUUAGUGGUUUUUAUAAAGAGUUUUUAUUUUGUUCUUUAUACUUUGUGUAUUUUCUUUUUUAUUAUACUUUAAG
This is a long non-coding RNA of Callithrix jacchus (white-tufted-ear marmoset), 1528 nucleotides long. RefSeq lists it as uncharacterized. The record is from RefSeq and is a predicted model, not a curated record. Lineage: Eukaryota; Metazoa; Chordata; Mammalia; Primates; Cebidae.